Molecule: ribosomal RNA, 988 nt
Filed under: Verongimorpha sp. 1 JV-2020
Lineage: Eukaryota; Metazoa; Porifera; Demospongiae
Description: partial large subunit ribosomal RNA
Rfam family: Eukaryotic large subunit ribosomal RNA
Source: RNAcentral
UGUAGUCUGGAGACGGGUCUUCUCGGCGGCGAGACCUCCCGAAGUCGUCUUGGAAAGGCGCGCCGGAAAGGGUGAGAGCCCCGGGCGCGGGAACGUCUCGCCGCCCCGACAAGUCCCUGUCGUAAAGUCGGGUUGUUUGGGAAUGCAGCCCAAAGCGGGUGGUAAACUCCAUCCAAGGCUAAGUACGGGCACGAGACCGAUGGCGAACAAGUACCGUGAGGGAAAGAUGAAAAGCACUUUGAAAAGAGAGUCAAAUAGUGCGUGAACCCGUUGGGAGGGAAGAGAAUGCGGGUGGCUCAGUCCCGUUCGGGUUCAGGCGGCGCGGCGGUCGCCACUGGCCGGUCGGAUCCGUCAGGACCGACCUCCGGUGGAUCGUUCGCCGCGCCAUGCCGCAUUCCCGUCGGGUCCGGUCAGCGAGAGUACGCCGGCGUCCGAGGAGGGGAGGCGAGAGUUGGUGCGCGCUUUCGGGCUCGCACUCUGCUGGUCUCCGUCCAGGAUGCCGCGGACUGAGGAUAGCGGCGUCGAUCGCCCAAGCAGCGCAAGCCCCAGGGCCGGACGGGCGUUCCGGGCCGAGGCGUCCGCGCGGGACUGCUCGCAGUGUCGCGCGCGUCGUCGGAGUCCGGGGCGUCGCGGUCACGAUUCGCGCUGAGGUCGCUGGCUUCCCGCCGCCCCCAUCCGUCCCGUCUUGAAACACGGACCAAGGAGUGCAACCCGUGCGCGAGUCUUGGGGUGGCAAUCCCCGGGGCGCAGUGAGAGCGAAGGCGCGCCCGACGCGCCGAGGCGGGAGCCGAGCGGGCGUCGUUCCGCCGGCGCACCGUCGACCGAUUCCGUCCACUCCGUGGUGGGAUUCGAGUGAGAGCGUGCCUGUUGCGACCCGAAAGAUGGUGAACUAUGCCCGAGCAGGGCGAAGCCAGGGGAAACCCUGGUGGAGGCCCGCAGCGGUUCUGACGUGCAAAUCGAUCGUCUGAUUUGGGUAUAGGGCGAAAGA